GAUACUUUAUAUAUAAAUAAAUGUCACAUGUAUAUAUAGCAUCAGGAAAUACGAGUUUGACAUUUUUGCAAAAUAAGCCCAAGGUCCAAUCAAAGGUGUAUUAAAAGGUAGUCAUUUCUGGAUGAUAGCCUCAUCGUGACACAGAAAAACAUAAGAUGCUGCAGCUCCCCAACCUACGCAUGGCGCACAAGGCUUACCCUGCUUUUCGAGCAGAAAAGAAUCCUAGAAUCUCAGCCUGAGCAGAGACCUUAAAAGCCACCUACCCCUAUGCUGCAUGCAUCGCACACGUGGCCUCUUCAUCACACCCAGGAAGCGGUGCCUGCUCUCAGCCUCAGCCACCCUAGCAACGAGGAGCUCAACUGGACCACGGCAUUGUCUAUCUUUUAGACAAGUCAAAUUGAUGGAAAGCAUCCACGCUGUGCUUUAUGGUGCCUCCUCGAAAAUUAGGAAGAGGCACCCGCCCUGGAUGGACCCAGCCUUGACUCCCGCCCUUGGCCAGGCGCCUGUGUGCAAGUUACAACCUGCUUAAACCUGUGCUAGUGUCCACAACUGUUGUCCGAAGUGUAACAGAAACAAAUAUGGUAGCAGGAAGCCCAGCACCCACUCACAGACACUUGUCACAACUUGAAUCCUCAGCAGUAUGUGCAAGACAAUGUCUCAGGAAGCCGACAAGAGAGCAGUGCCUAGAGCCACCGGCCCUGCCUCACUAAGACAGAAGGGGUUCCAACUCCACCUGCUGCCCCCAGUGCCUUCCUGGAAGCAGAGGAAGAAAUGGAAAAAAGAACAGGUGUAGGAAGAAAAGGGACAUGCCUUAGAGGGAAAAAUUCGGGCGGCAUGAAACGGCCAUGCCGAUGGAAGACAGAAAGCAGUCCUCAGGCAUGGAAGGCUACACUGUGGAAGAGCAUUCAUUCUCCCUUCAGCAAACCCUCACAGGAACCUAGUCCCUUUAGAGGAUCGGAUGAAACUUCACGGAAGCUGUGGUGUAAAACAGAAUAAAGAGAGCACGCUCUGGUUGAAGUGGGGUGGACGUGGGGAGACUCAGGGUCACUCUCCCUGCUCGGCUCCUGUGCCCUUGAAGAUCUCUGAGAAAUUUCUAGGACUUCAAAGAGCGUGAUGCUGAAGAACUGCUCUGCCAAAAUCACCUGCACCGCCCAUGGCUGCUGCCUCCCCGCCACUGACAGUGCGAACCGCCAGAAACGGAGAUGGGCAGGAGGUCAACCGAGGUUCCCGAGAUGCGGAAAGUACAUGCAUGACAGGGCUUCAGCCCCCUGCCAGCGCUCCGCUCCCUGCAGAGCCGUCUCUGUGCUCCCAGCCUCCUCCACAGCAUUGCUCCGCAUCGGCGGGGGCUUCCUCUGUGCUCUCUUCAGCCAGCUUGCAAAGACUUCCACCAUUCUCUCCUCUCCUGGCUCCUCCACUCAACCCUCCUUUCACUUCUGCAGGCUCCGCUGGGCACUGCUGUCCGUCUGGUGGACACCAUCCCAACAGGAUCAGCCUAUCAGCCGACUCUACAGCCAUCUCAGCUAGGUGCCACCUGUCCAUCAUUUUCUCACGGUCCUCUUGUUAGGAUGGGAGCAAGUCAUACUGCCUCUGACCGCCAUGUCUUAUGGAACCUUGAAUGAAACACGUCUUCACAUUCUCACUUCCAGUUAGAGACCUUAUCACCUCCCUGGAAACAACUCUAACAGGAGUCUCCCUUGGUCUAGGAAAUAAACCCAAGUAGCAG
Molecule: long non-coding RNA, 1723 nt
Organism: Equus caballus (horse)
Lineage: Eukaryota; Metazoa; Chordata; Mammalia; Perissodactyla; Equidae
Source: Ensembl